GCGCACCAGGCGAGAAACCUUCGCAAUGCGGGAAACCGCGACGAGGGGACUCCCAGUGCCUACGCUCAGCGUAGGCUGUUCCCGAGCCUAGAAAGCUCGGGGAGUAAGGGCUGGGUAAGACGGGUGCCAGCCGCCGCGGUAAUACCCGCAGCCCGAGUGGUGGCCACUAUUAUUGGGCCUAAAGCGUCCGUAGCCGGCCCGGUAAAUGCCUGGGUAAAUCGUGAGGCCUAACCUCACGAAUUCCGGGUAGACUGCCGGGCUAGGGACCGGAGGAGGGAGAGGGUACUCCAGGGGUAGGGGUGAAAUCCUGUAAUCCCUGGAGGACCACCGGUGGCGAAGGCGCUCUCCUAGGACGGGUCCGACGGUGAGGGACGAAAGCCAGGGGAGCGAACCGGAUUAGAUA
Molecule: ribosomal RNA, 403 nt
Filed under: uncultured microorganism
Description: bacterial SSU rRNA
Rfam family: Archaeal small subunit ribosomal RNA
Source: RNAcentral